UACGUAGGGCGCAAGCGUUGUCCCGGAAUUAUUGGGCGUAAAGAGCUCGUAGGCGGUCUGUUACGUCCGCUGUGAAAACCCAGGGCUUAACCCUGGGCUUGCAGUGGAUACGGGUAGACUAGAGGCAGGUAGGGGAGAAUGGAAUUCCCGGUGUAGCGGUGAAAUGCGCAGAUAUCGGGAGGAACACCUGUGGCGAAAGCGGCUCACUGGACCACAACUGACGCUGAGGCGCGAAAGCUAGGGGAGCAAACAGG
Molecule: ribosomal RNA, 254 nt
Filed under: uncultured bacterium
Lineage: Bacteria
Description: partial 16S ribosomal RNA
Rfam family: Bacterial small subunit ribosomal RNA
Source: RNAcentral